This 492-nucleotide ribosomal RNA is filed under the name uncultured bacterium. RNAcentral describes it as "partial 16S ribosomal RNA". It matches the Rfam family "Bacterial small subunit ribosomal RNA", at positions 29 to 507 of the family's 1533-position model. The record is from RNAcentral.
AGUGAACGCUGGCGGUAGGCCUAACACAUGCAAGUCGAACGGCAGCACAGUAAGAGCUUGCUCUUACGGGUGGCGAGUGGCGGACGGGUGAGGCAUACAUCGGAAUCUACUUUUUCGUGGGUGAUAACGUAGGGAAACUUACGCUAAUACCGCAUACGACCUACGGGUGAAAGCAGGGGAUCUUCGGACCUUGCGCGAUUGAAUGAGCUGAUGUCGGAUUAGCUAGUUGGCGGGGUAAAGGCCCACCAAGGCGACGAUCCGUAGCUGAUCUGAGAGGAUGAUCGGCCACACUGGAACUGAGACACGGUCCAGACUCCUACGGGAGGCAGCAGUGGGGAAUAUUGGACAAUGGGCGCAAGCCUGAUCCAGCCAUACCGCGUGGGUGAAGAAGGCCUUCGGGUUGUAAAGCCCUUUUAUUAGGAAAGAAAAGCAGCAGGUUAAUACCCCGCUGUUCUGACGGUACCCAAAGAAUAAGCACCGGCUAACUUCGUG